Molecule: ribosomal RNA, 370 nt
Filed under: unidentified archaeon
Lineage: Archaea
Description: bacterial SSU rRNA
Rfam family: Archaeal small subunit ribosomal RNA
Source: RNAcentral
UCAGUAACACGUAGUCAACCUAACUCGUGGGCGUGGAUAACCUCGGGAAACUGAGAAUAAACCACGAUAGAUCAUAGUGCCUGGAAUGGCUUAUGGUCCAAACAGUUUACUCGGGCCAUGGGAUGGGACUGCGGCCUAUCAGCUUGUUGGUGAGGUAAUGGCCCACCAAGGCGAUUACAGGUACGGGCUCUGAAGGAGAAGCCCGGAGAUGGGUACUGAACACGGACCCAGGCCCUAUGGGGCGCAGCAGGCGAGAAACCUUAGCAAUGUGCGAAAGCACGACUGGGUCAGUCCGAGUGAUUCCUGAUAAAGGAGCCUUUUGCUUGUCCUAAAAGCACAGGUGAGUAAGGGGUGGGCAAGUCUGGUGCCA